UACGUAGGGAGCAAGCGUUGUCCGGAUUUAUUGGGCGUAAAGAGCUCGUAGGCGGCUUAGAAAGUCAGGUGUGAAAACUCUGGGCUCAACCCAGAGACGCCACUUGAUACUUCUAUGGCUUGAGUUCGGUAGGGGACCAUGGAAUUCCUGGUGUAGCGGUGAAAUGCGCAGAUAUCAGGAGGAACACCGAUGGCGAAGGCAGUGGUCUGGACCGAUACUGACGCUGAGGAGCGAAAGCGUGGGGAGCGAACAGG
This 254-nucleotide ribosomal RNA is filed under the name uncultured bacterium. Its description in RNAcentral is "partial 16S ribosomal RNA". It matches the Rfam family "Bacterial small subunit ribosomal RNA", at positions 524 to 776 of the family's 1533-position model. The record is from RNAcentral.